RNAcentral lists this transfer RNA (73 nucleotides) under Erinaceus europaeus (western European hedgehog). It matches the Rfam family "tRNA". Rfam says of the family: Transfer RNA (tRNA) molecules are approximately 80 nucleotides in length. Lineage: Eukaryota; Metazoa; Chordata; Mammalia; Eulipotyphla; Erinaceidae. The record is from Rfam by way of RNAcentral.
UGGCAUGUGGCUCAGAGGAUACAGUGCCAGACUCUCAAGCAGGAGGUCCUGAGUUUGAUUCCCAGCAUCACAU